UUGAUGAUUAGUCUUACAUAUAUUUUUUUUUCUUACACAUGGGUUAUUACUACACCACAUUUUUAUAUUUACUUAAUGUAACACCCCAUUAUCCUCCACUAAUAUUUUCUUUUCCCUACCACUAAUCUUUUUCCCUACCAUCACUAAUAUUUUCUUUUCCCUACCACUAAUCUUUUUCCCUACCACUACUCCUACCUCUCCACCACACUACUCCUUUUCCCCCACCACUACAUUCUUUCUCCCACUCUCACAACUUUUCUCCCACCAUUAUCACACUCCAUAGAAGCCUUUGAAGCCCCAAGAGAAGUAGCAAAGCAAGGGAGAGUGUGGGAAAACUAUAGAGUGAAGGUUGUGCUUCGAGGGUUGAGCAGGCGAUGGAAUGGAUCGGUGUUGAGCGGAUUUCCCUUUUGAUGUUUAUGUAAUGAAACCUUGAGUAUGCAUCUCCAUAUGCAUAACUCACACGUUUUUUUUCGCUGCAAACACUCUGACUUAUUUAUCAUUUCUACUUGAACUUAUUACUACUUCAUUUUAAUUAACUUUCAGUUGGGGUCUAAUCGUUAUGGCAGACUCAUUUGUGAAUUACCCAAGUGGUUAUAUAUAUAUACCACUAGUUUGUUAUUAA
Molecule: long non-coding RNA, 622 nt
Organism: Salvia miltiorrhiza (redroot sage)
Lineage: Eukaryota; Viridiplantae; Streptophyta; Magnoliopsida; Lamiales; Lamiaceae
Exons: 2
Source: RefSeq, a predicted model, not a curated record